AGAUCAAACUUGGCUCAGGAGUUUCCCUGACCAAGGAGAAAUGGCAGAGGGUGCAGGAGGCAAAAUCAAACUCCCAAUUCUGCAAGUCGUUGGCAGUUUGCAUUUGGGGCACAGAGGGACUGAGGGAGAGAAGCGUCACAGGGGCCAAAUCAAACGUGGUCAAAGACUCUGUCCCCAAGCGUCCCCUGACCCCAGAAAAAGUGGCUGUCAUAAGAGACUGCCUGAGGGACCGGCUUCAGAAGAUGGGCUAUCCAAAGGAGGCCAUUGAACAGCAGCUGGCCCUAGUUAGACGAGCCAUAUCAGAAAAGAUUAGUGAUAUUAGGAUGAGGAGCCCUCAGACAGAGGGAAAGCAGUAAACUGCUGCUGUCAACGCCACAUACUUCUUUGCCAAAGUUGUUGGUUGGUUUAAAAAAUCAAUAAAAAUGACAAACUGCAAUGAGUUGUCACACCCCAUAUGUCCUGUUCCCAAUUCGGAGGGGAAAAUAUCCGAAUACAUACACAAUUAUACACAUGCAUAGAUGUCUCUGGUGCCCAGUGUUAAGAUAUUUUUUGUUGCAGCAAUAGGUUUCAGUAAGUUUUAGUUUUCAAUUGGACCAGUACGUUCCUAAUGGUUUGACAUCCUAAUGGGACCAGUACAUUCCUAAUGGUUUUACAUCCUGAUGGCACCAGUACAUGCCUAAUGG
Long non-coding RNA from Acanthochromis polyacanthus (spiny chromis), 683 nucleotides. RefSeq lists it as uncharacterized. Lineage: Eukaryota; Metazoa; Chordata; Actinopteri; Pomacentridae. The record is from RefSeq and is a predicted model, not a curated record. The transcript is spliced from 3 exons.